Molecule: non-coding RNA, 58 nt
Filed under: Nocardia farcinica IFM 10152
Lineage: Bacteria; Bacillati; Actinomycetota; Actinomycetes; Mycobacteriales; Nocardiaceae
Description: msiK RNA
Rfam family: msiK RNA
Source: RNAcentral
UGCCGACACCCUGUACUCGGAUCGUCCGGCACGUUCCUGCCGGUGAAGGGAAGUAUCU